UGGGGAGAGGGACACUAUUCCACGGGGUGCCCACUUCUACCCAGGACCCCUGAGGACCUGGCCUGUUGCCAUCAUGCUCCCUGACGAUCCUUCCUAAGAGAUAGUAAUUUGGGGGGCAGUCUACAUGUGAUGGAGUUCAUCCUAUAUGUUUGAAUCAAUAUAGACCCAGCCGAAUAACAACUUUACACCAACUUUACAACUAAUGGACUUGCCUCAGACUGCCUGGCGACCAUAAGACCUUGGUAGCCUGGUCUGCACCAUGGCUAGAGACCUGGCCCCAUGAAGAGCUGGUUUUGGGACCUUGGGGAAAGGCUAGAGGGAGUGCUGUGGAAGAGGACAAAUGACUGUGUUCUAAAAACAAGCCACC
This is a non-coding RNA of Phascolarctos cinereus (koala), 367 nucleotides long. Lineage: Eukaryota; Metazoa; Chordata; Mammalia; Diprotodontia; Phascolarctidae. The record is from RefSeq and is a predicted model, not a curated record.